Molecule: ribosomal RNA, 445 nt
Filed under: uncultured bacterium
Lineage: Bacteria
Description: bacterial SSU rRNA
Rfam family: Bacterial small subunit ribosomal RNA
Source: RNAcentral
ACCCCGAUUAUGAAGGACUGACGGUACCUGAGGAAUAAGCACCGGCUAACUCCGUGCCAGUGCCGCGGUAAUACGGAUCCCGCAAGCGUUUUCCGGAUUCACUGGGUUUAAAGGGUGCGUAGGCGGGUUUGUAAGUCAGUGGUGAAAUCCCCGAGCUUAACUUGGGAACUGCCAUUGAUACUGCAAGUCUUGAAUUUUCUGGAGGUAAGCGGAAUAUGUCAUGUAGCGGUGAAAUGCUCAUAUAUGAAUAUAACUCCUUUGCGAAGGCAGCUUACUACGGGAUUAUUGUCGCUGAGUCACCAAAGCGUGGGGAUCAAACAGGAUUAGAUAUCCUGGUAGUCCACCCCCCAAACGAUGAUUACUCGACAUUACCGUUAUUACAGUUAGUGUCUAACGAAAGCAUUAAUAAUCCACCGGGGAAUUCCACCGCAAGGUUGAAACUCAA